RNAcentral lists this ribosomal RNA (253 nucleotides) under uncultured bacterium. Its description in RNAcentral is "partial 16S ribosomal RNA". It matches the Rfam family "Bacterial small subunit ribosomal RNA", at positions 524 to 776 of the family's 1533-position model. The record is from RNAcentral.
GACGAACCGUGCGAACGUUGUUCGGAAUCACUGGGCUUAAAGGGCGCGUAGGCGGUCAGGUAAGUGGGAUGUGAAAGCCCUCGGCUCACCCGAGGAUCUGCAUCUCAAACUGCCUGGCUUGAGUAUGGGAGAGGAUGAGGGAAUUCCUGGUGUAGCGGUGAAAUGCGUAGAUAUCAGGAGGAACACCGGUGGCGAAGGCGCUCAUCUGGCCCAAUACUGACGCUGAGGCGCGAAAGCUAGGGGAGCAAACGGG